GAAGUAGUGAGGGGAUUUUUUAGGUGUUGGCUAAAGGUCACCUAUUUUUUCUUAUCGUUGCGAUUGCGUAGCCAAUGCGCAAAUAACGCUACGAUACAAC
This 100-nucleotide antisense RNA is filed under the name Staphylococcus ureilyticus. RNAcentral's name for it is "Fst antitoxin sRNA". It matches the Rfam family "Fst antitoxin sRNA". From Rfam's summary of the family: It is located on the opposite strand of SprA1 sRNA. The record is from RNAcentral. Lineage: Bacteria; Bacillati; Bacillota; Bacilli; Caryophanales; Staphylococcaceae.